AGUCAUGGUUAAGUGGGAAACGAUGUGGGAAGGCCCAGACAGCCAGGAUGUUGGCUUAGAAGCAGCCAUCAUUUAAAGAAAGCGUAAUAGCUCACUGGUCGAGUCGGCCUGCGCGGAAGAUGUAACGGGGCUAAACCAUGCACCGAAGCUGCGGCAGCGACACUGUGUGUUGUUGGGUAGGGGAGCGUUCUGUAAGCCUGUGAAGGUGUGCUGUGAGGCAUGCUGGAGGUAUCAGAAGUGCGAAUGCUGACAUAAGUAACGAUAAAGCGGGUGAAAAGCCCGCUCGCCGGAAGACCAAGGGUUCCUGUCCAACGUUAAUCGGGGCAGGGUGAGUCGACCCCUAAGGCGAGGCCGAAAGGCGUAGU
Molecule: ribosomal RNA, 365 nt
Filed under: Escherichia coli
Lineage: Bacteria; Pseudomonadati; Pseudomonadota; Gammaproteobacteria; Enterobacterales; Enterobacteriaceae
Description: bacterial LSU rRNA
Rfam family: Bacterial large subunit ribosomal RNA
Source: RNAcentral